UAGGGAAUCUUCGGCAAUGGACGAAAGUCUGACCGAGCAACGCCGCGUGAGCGAAGAAGGUUUUCGGAUCGUAAAACUCUGUUGGUAGAGAAGAACGUUGGUGAGAGUGGAAAGCUCAUCAAGUGACGGUAACUACCCAGAAAGGGACGGCUAACUACGUGCCAC
RNAcentral lists this ribosomal RNA (165 nucleotides) under uncultured bacterium. RNAcentral describes it as "partial 16S rRNA". It matches the Rfam family "Bacterial small subunit ribosomal RNA", at positions 355 to 511 of the family's 1533-position model. The record is from RNAcentral.